This 667-nucleotide ribosomal RNA is filed under the name Paenibacillus sp. Its description in RNAcentral is "bacterial SSU rRNA". It matches the Rfam family "Bacterial small subunit ribosomal RNA", at positions 95 to 748 of the family's 1533-position model. Lineage: Bacteria; Bacillati; Bacillota; Bacilli; Caryophanales; Paenibacillaceae. The record is from RNAcentral.
GCGGCGGACGGGUGAGUAACACGUAGGCAACCUGCCCUCAAGCUUGGGACAACUACCGGAAACGGUAGCUAAUACCGAAUACUUGCUUCCUUCGCCUGAAGGAAGCUGGAAAGACGGAGCAAUCUGUCACUUGAGGAUGGGCCUGCGGCGCAUUAGCUAGUUGGUGAGGUAACGGCUCACCAAGGCGACGAUGCGUAGCCGACCUGAGAGGGUGAUCGGCCACACUGGGACUGAGACACGGCCCAGACUCCUACGGGAGGCAGCAGUAGGGAAUCUUCCGCAAUGGGCGAAAGCCUGACGGAGCAAUGCCGCGUGAGUGAUGAAGGUUUUCGGAUCGUAAAGCUCUGUUGCCAGGGAAGAACGUCCUUGAGAGUAACUGCUCAAGGAGUGACGGUACCUGAGAAGAAAGCCCCGGCUAACUACGUGCCAGCAGCCGCGGUAAUACGUAGGGGGCAAGCGUUGUCCGGAAUUAUUGGGCGUAAAGCGCGCGCAGGCGGUCAUUUAAGUCUGGUGUUUAAUCCCGGGGCUCAACCCCGGAUCGCACUGGAAACUGGAUGACUUGAGUGCAGAAGAGGAGAGUGGAAUUCCACGUGUAGCGGUGAAAUGCGUAGAGAUGUGGAGGAACACCAGUGGCGAAGGCGACUCUCUGGGGCUGUAACUGACGCUG